GCCAGGCGAGGUGGCACGUGGCUAUAGUCCCAGCUACUCAGGAGGCUGAGGCUGGAGGAUCGCCUGAGUCCAGGAGUUCUGGGCUGUAGUGCGCUAUGCCGAUCGGGUGUCCGCACUAAGUUCGCCAUCAAUCUGGUGACCUCCCAGGAGCGGGGGACUACAAGGUUGCCUAAGGCGGGGUGAACCGGCCCAGGUCAGAAACAGAGCAGGUCAAAACUCCCGUGCUUGGCCGGGCGUGGUGGCUCACGCCUGUAAUCCCAGCACUUUGGGAGGCCUAGGCGGGUGGAUCAUGAGGUCAAGAGAUCGAGACCAUCCUGGUCAACAUGGUGAAACACCGUCUCU
Molecule: signal recognition particle RNA, 342 nt
Filed under: Aotus nancymaae (Ma's night monkey)
Lineage: Eukaryota; Metazoa; Chordata; Mammalia; Primates; Aotidae
Description: Metazoan signal recognition particle RNA (ENSANAG00000000675.1)
Rfam family: Metazoan signal recognition particle RNA
About the family: The signal recognition particle (SRP) is a universally conserved ribonucleoprotein. It is involved in the co-translational targeting of proteins to membranes.
Source: RNAcentral